GUCUUCUUGUUUAUAUAUGAAGUCUGGUCUGCCCACUGAAGGUUGAAGGGCCGCGGUAUUUUGACCGUGCAAAGGUAGCAUAAUCAUUAGUCCUUUAAUUGGGGGCUGGAAUGAAGGGCUGCACGAGGUAUAGACUGUCUUAUUUGAAUUGUUAUUAGAAUUUAAUUUUUAAGUUAAAAAGCUUAAAUUUUUUUAAAGGACGAGAAGACCCUAUAGAACUUUAUAUAAAUGCAAGUAAAUGGCCUUUGGUUGUUUUUAUAUUUAUUUGUGUUUGUAUUUUGUUGGGGUGAUAGGAAAAUAAAAUUAACUUUUUUUAUUAUUUUACAUUAAUUUAUGAUUAUUUGAUCCAUUUUUAGUGAUUAUAAGAUUAAGUUACCUUAGGGAUAACAGCGUAAUUUUCCCUUAGAGUUCUUAUCGACGGGAAAGCUUGCGACCUCGAUGUUGGAUUAAGAUUAAUUUUUGGUGUAGAAGCUGAAAUAUUAGGUCUGUUCGACCUUUAAAUUCUUACA
RNAcentral lists this ribosomal RNA (509 nucleotides) under Grylloblatta campodeiformis. Its description in RNAcentral is "partial 16S ribosomal RNA". It matches the Rfam family "Bacterial large subunit ribosomal RNA", at positions 1831 to 2600 of the family's 2925-position model. The record is from RNAcentral. Lineage: Eukaryota; Metazoa; Arthropoda; Insecta; Grylloblattodea; Grylloblattidae.